Molecule: ribosomal RNA, 32 nt
Filed under: Phyllosticta sp. CGMCC 3.15215
Lineage: Eukaryota; Fungi; Ascomycota; Dothideomycetes; Botryosphaeriales; Phyllostictaceae
Description: partial 18S ribosomal RNA
Source: RNAcentral
UUCCGUUAGGGUGACCUGCGGAAGGAUCAUUA